RNAcentral lists this ribosomal RNA (497 nucleotides) under uncultured bacterium. RNAcentral describes it as "partial 16S ribosomal RNA". It matches the Rfam family "Bacterial small subunit ribosomal RNA", at positions 28 to 507 of the family's 1533-position model. The record is from RNAcentral.
GAUGAACGCUGGCGGCGUGCCUAAUACAUGCAAGUCGAGCGAACAGACGAGGAGCUUGCUCCUCUGACGUUAGCGGCGGACGGGUGAGUAACACGUGGAUAACCUACCUAUAAGACUGGGAUAACUUCGGGAAACCGGUGCUAAUACCGGAUAAUAUCUUGAACCGCAUGGUUCAAUAGUGAAAGACGGUUUUGCUGUCACUUAUAGAUGGAUCCGCGCCGUAUUAGCUAGUUGGUAAGGUAACGGCUUACCAAGGCGACGAUGCGUAGCCGACCUGAGAGGGUGAACGGCCACACUGGAACUGAGACGCGGUCCAGACUCCUAGGGGAGGCAGCAGUAGGGAAUCGUGCGCAAUGGGCGGAAUCCUGACGGAGCAGCGGCGCGUGGGUGAUGCAGGUCUUCGGAUCGGAUAACUCCGUUAGGGUGGAAGACCAAAUGUGUAAGGAACGAUGCACGUCGUGACGGUACCUACACAGGAAGCACCGGCUAACUACGUG